Molecule: ribosomal RNA, 500 nt
Filed under: uncultured bacterium
Lineage: Bacteria
Description: partial 16S ribosomal RNA
Rfam family: Bacterial small subunit ribosomal RNA
Source: RNAcentral
AUUGAACGCUGGCGGCAUGCCUUACACAUGCAAGUCGAACGGCAGCACGGGAGCAAUCCUGGUGGCGAGUGGCGAACGGGUGAGUAAUAUAUCGGAACGUGCCCAGUCGUGGGGGAUAACGUAGCGAAAGCUACGCUAAUACCGCAUACGAUCUAUGGAUGAAAGCGGGGGAUCGCAAGACCGCGCGCGAUUGGGGCGGCCGAUAUCGAAUUAGGUAGUUGGUGAGGUAAAGGCUCACCAAGCCGACGAUCUGUAGCUGGUCUGAGAGGACGACCAGCCACACUGGGACUGAGACACGGCCCAGACUCCUACGGGAGGCAGCAGUGGGGAAUUUUGGACAAUGGGCGCAAGCCUGAUCCAGCAAUGCCGCGUGCAGGAUGAAGGCCUUCGGGUUGUAAACUGCUUUUGUACGGAACGAAACGGCGAGCUCUAAUACAGUUUGCUAAUGACGGUACCGUAAGAAUAAGCACCGGCUAACUACGUGCCAGCCGCCGCCGUAA